GUUUCCAUUUUAGAUUUAUUUCAUAUCUAAAGUGGGUUAUCAAACGGGGGGUAAAGAAAGAUUCCUUAUAAAACCUAGAGUCGAAGGGUUCUAACUGCCCGACUCUGGAUCCUGUCUAAGGAAACAGCG
Molecule: small nucleolar RNA, 129 nt
Organism: Lethenteron reissneri (Far Eastern brook lamprey)
Lineage: Eukaryota; Metazoa; Chordata; Hyperoartia; Petromyzontiformes; Petromyzontidae
Product: small nucleolar RNA SNORA26
Source: RefSeq, a predicted model, not a curated record